This 588-nucleotide ribosomal RNA is filed under the name Triticum aestivum (bread wheat). RNAcentral's name for it is "partial small subunit ribosomal RNA". The record is from RNAcentral. Lineage: Eukaryota; Viridiplantae; Streptophyta; Magnoliopsida; Poales; Poaceae.
AUGAUAGACAUUCAGUACCAUGACAUGAAGAAAGAAAUUAACCGCAAGGAGGACCAUACUCUGUGGGGAUUUUGCCUGCUGCCAGAAAAGCUUAUCAAGUAUGCAGUAAUAGAUGCAUUCGCAACAUAUGAGUCAUGGAGAAUCAUUUACGAUGUCAUAAUGGGACUGGACAGGGCAAAAAGCGACAAAGAAGCAAAGAAGAAGAAGAACAAGGCUGCGGCAAGCCACGUCGCCGCCUGCUCCGGCUCGUUCCAGGCUCGGCCUCGCAGGGGGAUGGGGAGAGGGGGUCACGACCCCCCCUCCCCACACCCUGCUCGGCCUCACGCUAACGCAUGCAGCACAGUCCGGACAUUCUGUUUUUCCAUCAAAAGGGGAUGCACGCAACCCCGGAGCCACACCCCUAAGAUAGACAGGGGGCGACGGGGUGUGACGGACUCGCCUACGCAUGCGACGCCACGGCAAGCCUCUUCGCCGCCUGCUCCGGCUCAUUCCAGUCUCGGCCUCGCAGGAGGAGGGGGAGGGGGAUCUCGACCCCCCUCCCCACCCCCUGCUCGGCCUCAUGCUAACGCAUGCAGUGCGCUUGGUUGA